GGGAGAUAUCAGGAUCCUAGCAUUGUCAGCCUGCCACACCUGGACGCAAGCUAUAAGCAAGGAUUGGGAUUCAGCUCAGAUGUCCCACAGCCCCACUCUCAUCCUACUCUCAACUCUUUCCUGACUUCCUACAGUGGGUUUUAACGUCUCCUCAAAGUAGAAUGCAGAUGGAUUAUUGCUCAGUUUUGGCUAGGGAAGCUCCAAGUAGCCCCAGAAAGUCAAGGUGCCUGAUAAGUUACUGGAAGGCCACAGUGAACCUUCCAGUAGAAAGAGUUUCAAAUGAGCAUGAAUGCCUAAACUGCUGAUAUCCCUGUUGCGGCUCCAGAUCCUUCUGACUUAUCAACCCAGAGGUUGAGAACCACUGUCCUAGUCUGAAGGAACCUCUUGUGGAACAUUGGCAAGACCCUUACUGAGCAGAAGCCUAGCACCCUGAGCAUCCAGGAGAAGAAAAUAUUUGUGAUCUACGGGCUCAGUGAAGAAUUAUGGAGGACUUCAGGAUCUAGAAGGAAGCUUUGCAUGGAUUAGAUAAUUCAAUAAUAUUUAUCAAAUCAAAGUUGGGAGUCAAAAGAGAAUUUGGAAGCUUUGAUCAUCAGGAAAGAAGAUGGAGUUUAUUGACCCAAUGGAAGAGAAAAGCCACUUUUCUGUAAAGUGUAAGGCGUGGUAUCCAAGGCUACUCUCUGGAGACGACCAUAGGCUUCACCUGGGAGUUGUGAGAAAUGCAAACUCUCAACCCCAUCCCAGACCCUCUGAAUCAAAAGCUGCAUUUUAAAACAUGUCCUGUGCACAUUAAGCUUUAAGAGGCAUGGUUUUAGAGCACAGGCUUUGUAUCCCUGGAAUCAAAGUUCAAGUCUUUCACUUAUCAGCUAUACAAACUUAAGCAAGACAUGCGAAGUUUUUGAGACUCACUGUUUCUGUGAAACAGGCAUAUUCAUAUACACUACCUACUAGAGUUGUGAAGUUCAAAUGAACAAAAAAGAAUAUUGGACACAAGUCAUGGUGCCUGACUUUAUACAGUAAGAGUUUAAUUGUUUGAUGCUAUUAUUUUCUGAAAUUUCCAUCUCUUCAUUCAGGAAAAAAUGUUGGUUGGACAACGGACAAUCACCUCCUAUCAAAUCCAUAAUUUGAAGAUUGACUAAGUCACCUACUUUGCAUUCAGAUGUUGAUAAUUAUCAAGCCAGCCUAGGUUAAAACAAGUUUUUUACCUUUUACAAAUAUAUUUUUUUAAGAAUUGUGUAUCUUGGGGACAAAACAUUAUAAUAAGGUUAAUGAGAAAAGGAGCAACACAAAUCUGUUUUCAUUAAUCUUAACAGAGCUUUAAUCACAGCACAGGGGGAAACAGCUGCUCUGGAAGGGAGACUAGGAGCAGAUCAGUAGAAGCUGAUUAUCCAUUAAUGAGAGGGCUUUGGUGGGGAGCCCUGUGGAAAACCCACCAGACUCAAUCCUGCCAGCCAUUUGCUGAAGAGGUGGUGUAUAUGAAUCGCUUGUUUGAUGUAAAAAAUUCAAAACAGAUUCUUCUCAGCAGCCUGGGGACUGUCAUACAUCACUGAUCUCUUAUCUGUUUAUGUUAAGGAAAUAGCAUCCUUCAGUAAGUAAAUGUGUGUGGUAUUUAAUUAAACUCAUUGCUGAGCUCUGUGUGUGUGUGGCUAGUCCUCAUUUGGGGAUUAUCGGACUGUUGCAUUUUGCCUUUUUUCUCAUUUUUUCCUUCUUCUAGCAUUUCUUCCUCCAGCUCAGAAUUGCAGGAGCUUUAUGUUAUAUGGAGUAUCAUGGGAAGUACUUUAGCAUUUUUUUUAUUGCACACAUUAUUUAGAAAAGGAAACUGAGGCUCAGAGAGCUGAAGUCACUUGUCCAAUGUCCUCUAGCUUAAAGAAUUAUAUUAUUUAAACCUAGGUUCUGGGUGGUUUCAUAGCCUAAGCUUGUAACCACUUAUGCAAUAUGUGUAUAAAGUAAAAACUAACUAUGGUAUAUUGCGGUGGUUCUCAGAGUUAGUCCCCAGACCAGCAGCAUCAGCAUUGCCUGGGGACUUGUUAGAAAUACAAAUUGUUGGGCCCUGCCACAGAUCUAUCAGAAACUUAGGAAUGCAGCCUGGGAAGCCCUCUGAGUGAUUCAAAUGGAUGCUAAAGCUUGAGAGCCAUUGGUAUUUAGUUGGUAUGCUAGGUACUAAGAAUUUAGAAAGACAAAAAAAAAAUCGGUUCUUUGAUUUUGGGGAGUUCAGAGUCUAGUAGAGAAGACUAAAAUAUAAAGACAAUUAUAAUAAUAUUUUAUUAGUGUAUUAUAAGUGCAGUGAGAUAGUAUACACAAAAAAAUAGGAAAGUGCGGAUUAAGAUACUAACCUGGGUGGGAAGUGAAAGCUUAUUGGAAAAUGUGAUGCUUAAACUGAAUCUUAAAGCAUGAGAAGUCUCUGGCUGCAGUGACAGGAGAAAGUAUUUUAGGCAGGGGGACAGCAUAAACAGAAGAUGAAAUGAACAUGAAUACUGUCUAUGAAACAGCAGUCACUUUGGGGAUGCUGGAGUAGGAAGUAUAAUGAAGGAAGCAGUGAUGAGUUCAUGUGGCGGACAGUGAGCUGCCCUCUGUCACUCUGCAAUUUGACCCCCACCUGCUGAAGCUCAGGAGUUUGGCUUCUUGAAGCCCUGGCUUGGAUAUUUUACAGUCAUUUGUCAAUUUAUGGCAUUUACAACUGCCUUGUGGUUCCAGAUGAGGGGCACCACAUAUCACAAAGGCUUGUUCUUCAUGAUCUAUUGAGCACCCAGUAAUUCAUGCACGUUAUUUAUACCACUCACUCAUUUCUCCUUCUUUCUCAUGAAGUCGUCCAUGCCAUUAACAUUAGCUAGCAGACAUCAAGCUGCCUAGUGGAUAAAAUGUUGUUUGACAAGGGCUCAGUGGCUAGGGAUGUAACUCAUAGUUUUUAUCAUAAAUUUCAACUCAAUUAUUUGUUUUCCCAGGUAAUCUAUCAGUGAAUAAUAUACCCACAUCACAGGACUUUGGCCUGUGAAUUUGGUCUGUUUUCCAGACCAGUAUUUUAGCAUGGGCAUGGGUGACAUUUGAGCACUUAAAAUAAAAUAAUGCAGCUACAUUCUCUCUGGCAUGGUGGAAUGAACAUGGAAUUGGGAAUAAGAGAGACCAGGUUUCUAGCCCCAACUCUGUACUUUACAACUGUGUCCACUAAAUGACAUUGGAAGGCCUAUUUGUUAAUCCUGUGAAGCUUCAUUUUUUAAAAAUCUGCAUUGGCUCUCCAAAAUGUGCCUGGAAGUUGCUGCAAUUCUCAGAAUGUCUGAGAAGCUCCCCAACAGUCUUAGUCUGCAGCCAUGAGGCAAAUAAUUCUCAGCAAUUUUCUAGGAAGCUGCUUUGAUACUCACAUGUGCAUGUUCAUCUGGCAGCCACCACCUCCAGAGAAUAAAGCUUCCGAUUUACUUCCACUUUCCAGACUCCACAGAUGUUCCUCUCCUUGGCAAAAUGUAGCCCAGAUCUAAAUGGAAGGUGAUUCUGAGACAUGUAGUUGGCAACCUUAGCAGGACAUGGUGGUGCCACCCGGUUGAUAACAGACAUCUCAGCCCACUUUCCACUACACAGGAGCCAAAUGAUCUUCUUUAAAUCCCAAAACAGAGUAUUUCACAACCAGGCUUCAAAUGACUCAGUGGCUUCCCAUUUCUCUUAGAAUAAAACCCAAAUUCAUCCGGAUGGCCUGAAAAGCUUGUCCAGCCGAUCUCUUCAAUUUCAUCUAAUUCUAGCUUUCCCUUUCAUCAUUAUGUACAGCCAAACUGACUUUUAUUCCUUUUUUUUAACAUGCCAAACAUUUUACCACCUCAAAAUUCUUAUAGUUACUGUUCCUUCUGUUUAGAAUAUCUUCCACCUUGAUUUUUCUUAUCCUUUUAUCUCAACACUCUAAAGAGUCCUCCCCCAGUUUCUUUUUGUCGCCCCUUUUGUUUUCUUCAGUGGAUUUAUUGCAAUCUGCUCUUUUUGUGUGUUUAGUUAUUAUCUGUCACACUCACUGGAAUAUAAGCUCAGUGAAAGCUGGUACUAUAUUUAUCAAUUGCCCCCCUAGUUCUCUGUCUUGGCUUAGUUACCAAUUUUCCUCUUGGAACAUAGAUCAUCAUAGGCUGAAUUUGCUGCUUCAAAUAAUCAGAGGGCAUCAGUUUUUUUAGUGCUCAAGAUCCUAUAGUUAUUGUACCAGCCUUAAUGAAAGUACAAAGGAGAUAAGGGCAAGACGUGCUCUUUGCAAUGCUUAAACAGUUUUAGUAUAUCUCAAGCAAAGAAUCCUAAUAAAUCCAAAAUUCGACAGCUUUUUACUGUUGGUGUUCUACAACCUCUCUUUCCUCUCACUACCUGGAAUAGUCAGAAAUCUCAUGUUAAUUUAUGAACCCUGAUGUCAUCAUCAGGACUGGACUGUGGACUGAAAGAAGAUAAAUACCAAUAAUAAUUACCAAAUGUUGGAUAACUAUCAUAUGCCAACAAUAUGAUAAAUUAUUUAUGAACCUCACAAUAUUGCAUGGAAAAUAAUUAUCUCACUUUUCCAAAUUAUUUUUGUAAUUUUUCUAAUUUUUAAAAUAAUUUUCUAAUAAUUUUUAAAAAUUAUUUUUAUAAAAAUUAAGAACUUGACCAAAGUCACAGAGGUUAUUUGAGGUUAAACUAGGGUUUAAAUCUUGGUCAGUUUGGUUCUAACGCCCAAAUUUACUUCCCUGUUUCUGCCGUAUUCUAGGUCUCUUUUGAUUUUAUAAUACGUUGUGUUCGUGAUAGCAUUAUUUAUCUCACCCUGUAUUCACACUCUUUGUCGUUUUACUCUGGGUUAAGCUGUAAGACUGCUGUUUAGACUGGCUUUGGCCAAUAGAAUGAGGUAGGAGUUCUAGAUCUGAGCCUGGUCCUCACAUGAGUAUGCUCACCCUCUUAUUUGUCUGCCUAGACUAGUUCUUUGGUUUAGGAGAGAAUGAGAGACACAUCAAUGCAGAGCCAUCCUCAACUAGACCCAGCCAUGCUUCUCCAACCCCCCAAAAGGCUAUACUCAUGUGAGAGCUCAUCCAAGUACAGCAGUACAGCCCAGUUGAGCCCAAACAAGAUCAAUGAAGCCUCAGGAAACCAAACACAGUCAAUAAGCCCAACCAAGGUCAGCAGAACAGUCUAGCUGAGCCCAGCCUGGAUAAGCCAAUUCCUAGCUGACUCAUACGCUCAAAAAAAUGAUAAAUGAUUGCCAUUUUAACCAUGGUAUGCCGGGGUUGUUUCUUUCACAGUAAUAACAAAUUGAUACAGACACUAAUUAGCUCUGCAAAUGUGCUUAAAAAUAAUGCUUACAACCAUUUAAUAAGACUUUAUGUAUGAGACACAGUGCAGAACACUUUACAUUCAUUAUCCCUUUAGAUCUUAUUCAAAACCUCUCUGAGGGUUUCACAGAUGAGAAAAAUUAGAUGAAUAGAAAUGAAAUAACUUAGUCAAGUUUACACAGCUUGUUUAAGUGGCAGAGUUGGAAUUUAAACCUAAGUCUAUCUGGCUCUGAAGUUGUUCUUUUUUUGUUUUACCAGGUUGACUUUAUUCAUAAUCUAGACUUCACAUAGAAAAUAAUCAGCUGUGUGAAUAUGACUGAGUUCUCUGGGUCCAUUUUCUUCAACUACAAACUAGAGGGAACUAAAUAUCUUUUUUUCUUCUUACCUUCUUUGGUUCUAUGUUCCUACAUACAAAAGUUAUUUGAGGGCAGUUGGAGUUAAAGCAUGUAUGCAGUUUGAUGAUAAUGAUGAUGACGAUGACAAUGACAACAUAUAUCACAGAGAUGAAAGCAUGGACAUACUUUUUCCAAGAAAGAGAACUAAGACAAUUGUUGCAAGUGAGUGUAAAAAUUAACUCUGAAAACUUAUAUGUAAAACAGAGGAAUAAAUCUGGGCCACAAAAUCUUCCUUUCUAAUGCAAUAAACAACAACAACAACAGCAACAAAAAAGUGUCAGCCAAGAAUAUCAAAUUUAUCAAAUAAGCAAGAAACUAGAUAUAACGUGGGGCUUCAAAGAGCGGAUUUCAAGAUCUCAGCAGAGGCACAUGCCUUUGUGCACUCUUCUGCCCUCUCUCCUAUCUCUAUAUGCAACACAUAUACAAAGGACAUCUCUCUCUAUAUAUCUAUAUCUCAUACACAUAAACUAUCAUAUAUGUGCCAUUAUAUGUAUAUAUAUUCACAUACAUAUUCCAUAUAAAAUAUGGAUUCAAUAAUUAAGAGUUAAAAUAUGACUAAAUAAGAGAAUAAUAUGAAAAAGGAGAUAGAUGACAAAAUAAUACCAUUGUAGAACUAAUAUGUAAAUUAGGAACAACAAGAAACAGAUGAGACAUAUCAGGAAAUUGAAAUUAGUUACAAAAGAAAGCUUCGUGGUAUCAUAGGAAUUGUCAAUAAAGGGCUCUUAAAAAAUAAAAAGUUCUUAGAGACUUGACAAUACAUAGUGUGGUUACAUCGAACAGAACUGCAGCCACCCAGGCAUAAAGGGAAAUUUGCUUAUAAGGAGGAAAAUCAAAUUUACCUCAAUGUUCUCUGUAGCACCAAUUAUGCCAGAAGACAAUUGAGCCAAGUUUGCAUAAUUCUAAAAGAAAAUUAAACACAGUGUAAAAGUAUAUCAAAUACAAAGUCACAGGGAGAUAUUCUUGAACAAGAGCCCUUCUUAGCAAAAAUAAUUGAUGAAAUCCUGUAAACCAAAAAGGCAUUGUGAAGAGAACUAGCAAAGUAGUAAAGAAAUAUGUGUAAGCAGUUCAGAAAUACUUUUGCUGCCAGUGCAAUUCCUUUAUCUUUUGAUAAGUUAGAAAAAGUAUUUUAAAUAAUAUGAAAUAUAGUCCAUAACAGAAAUAUUUUAAGGCAUACAGAUUAUAAGAUAGUUAUAUAAUUUUUAUUCUCAUGGCUAUAUUAAGAUAGAUAUCUUGAAUACUAUGUAAUGUUAAUUAUUAAUAUUUAUAGAGGUGGUUUUAGAUGAUUUUAUUAACUUGUUAUUUGUUGCUAUUUCUUGAUUUUUGAAAAUAUGUACAUGUAAAUAUAUAGUUAAUUCAUCAUUAUUAUAUUUAAAGAGCAGAAGAAAAAAAUUAGAUCUUAAUGUGCACAUGUACCCUAAAACUUAAAGUAUAAUAAUAAAAAAAAAUUAGAUCUUAACUUACUAUAAGUAAGCUAUAAGUAAGAGAUGGUAGAGAUGGAGAAAUAGAAAAAGCAAUAAAGAAAACUUUCUGUUAGUGUGGCAUGGUAAAAGGAGCGUUCUCCUUCUAUGAGCAUCUGUUACCUAGUAGAUAUUAGGAAAAUCUGAUUUUCCUCCUUAUAAGCAACUUUCUCUUUAUACCUGGGUGCCUAGCAGGUCUGUUGCAGGUAACCACACUAUUGCCAAGUCUCGAAGAAUUUCUCUCUUAUUAUUGAUCAUCACUAUGAUAUCACAAAGCUUUCUUUUGUAACUAAUUUCAACUGGGUCUCUUGCUUUACUCUCUAUAACUUAGUUCCAUCAUCUACAUGGGUGGGGAUAUGUUGUUACCUCAGAGUUGGCUGUAGUAAUGAAAUGAAACAAUGUAUGUGAUAAGGUCAAAACAAUUUUAUGAAUAUGUUCACUUCUCUUCUCUCCUUCCCCUGACAAGCAGGAGUGUUCUGAUUUUCCAAGACAAAUCUUGGAUUAAAGGAUAGUUAAUGGAGAAUACAGUGAAGAGAAAAUGGAAAAUAGCAGGGAGUACAGACCGCCCUUGGUAGUGGAAUUGGUUACAUGUGUUUCAUUUGUUUAGGAAAAAAUGUGUCCAAAUUACUGUCUGCAGUUGUAACCUCCCAGUUCCCAUUCAUGUGGUUCUAGGGUGGGGCUGAAAUCUGGACUUGGGAGGUGGCACAUAUCUGCUUGUCCACGGUGAUUCAGAAAUAAACAAGUGGCAUAAGUCAGAUGGAACAGAGAGAUUCCAGGGUCUUUGAAGGGCCUGAGGAAGACGAUCUUUCUCUUCUGAAUCUGAAUCUAAGACACUGAAGCCUGGAACCACUCACCUCUGCAUCUUGCCAAUCAAAGAGAGAAGCCUCCUGAGAGUGGAACCAACACAAAGCCAAUAUCAGGAGGAAACAAUUCAACCCAUUGGAUCCAGCAGGGCUCAACUUUGUGUUACUGAGCUAAUUAAUCCCCUUUUAUUUGCAAGAGGAAGAGUUGGUUUAGCUAUUUGCAAUGCAAAGAGUCCUAAUUGAACAGAUGGGAUUGUUUCUCUUUGUCUUUACAUUUGUUUGUGUAUUUGUUUUUGUUUGCUUGUUUAGUACAGGUAUGGAAGUAACUACAGUGUGUGAGACCACAGAUGAGAUAAAAAGAAUAUUGAGAAAUAUUUCUGGACACUAUUGGUUUCCAGCGUGGAACCUGCCUGAUGAACUUCAAGAAAUAUAAGCAGAUGACUAACAUUAUUUUAAAAUUAGCUUUAGUGGUAUGAAUUUUACUUUUUUCUCCACUUUUUAGUACUCUAGGACUAAGAGCCAUUGUUUGUGAUUUUAUUGCUAAAACAUUGAAAACACCAUUUUAAGGGCUUUGCUCAUACCAUUCUCUUAUUUGGGAAAGUCAUAACUCUUUCCCUGCCUUCCCUGCUGCACAAGCUCCCUUUGUUCAGACUAUGCUCCUACCCAGGCUCCAGUACCACUCAGUUCCAGCAUUUCCCCAUCCAUUAAUGCCAACCUUUAGUUCACCAAAUGGGCUCCCCUGCAUGUCCGUGGCAACCACUUCUUACGUCUCUCAAUACAUUUGCCACUUGGUGAUACAAUAGUCUCCCACUAGGCUAUAAGCUCUUUGAAGACAGGAAUUCACCACAUCAUAUUUCUGUUUUUAGUACUUAUCACAGACCUGGCCUAUGGUAGGUGCAUGGGAAAUCUUCUUUUAACCUCCUUUCUCCCCUCAAAUUCACUCUCCCUAUUUACCUAUGCUAUCUUGUUUAUUGAUGGCAUCACCUCUUGCCCUGUGGUUCACACUCAGGUUUGGCUAAUGGGAAGCAGGAGAUAAAAGGGAGAGAAAGUGAGGUUGAGAUGUUUUUCUGUUGACUUUUUCUACCAACCCACCGUGGGUUGGUAGAAACUCUCUACUUGAGGCUAAUAAUGUGAUGUAUCUAUCGCCCACCAGGUUACUUAAGGGGUGUAUGUCUGCUGCCUAAACCCUAAAGGCUGGGUGCUGAACCAAGGCCCUGGUGCCCAGUGGAGGAGCAGGUAUCCCUGAGAACCCAAACAUUUGGAGAGUGUCUAAGAAUCUACCAAGAAAACUAGUCUCAUUGCUCAAACACAGUAGACAAAGAGCGAGAAAAGUAGCUUAAAAACAGUUUAGAGACAGAAGUAGUGCAGAUCUCUAGAGCUGUCCUGCUGUAGUCCAGGAGUACCCUGUAUGUAAGUUUUAAUAAACUCAUCUACUUGUCAAGCUGGACUUGUCUGAGUCAUUCUUAGGUCUCUCAGCACCUUCCCAGUUUGGGGGUGGGGGACAUUACAGUCCCAAGUCUUUCUUGUAACAAUUGGUGUCAUGAAUAGGAUCCAAGGAACCAAACGAUGAGUCAGGAAGGAGUGUGUGCAUGGGAAAUCCGGGGUGGUUUGCAACAUGCACCAAGGGUGGAGUUGCCUGACUGCUCAACCUCUGUGGGCCACCACGUGAGUACAAAGAUGCUCAGAAAACUUUGGCAGGGACUGAGCACAUACUGUAAGAAGCUAAGAUAUUAAAGUAUGGUAAGGACAGCAAAUAUGCUGUUGUUGCAAUAAAACUGGCUCUCAAAAAUUGUUACAGCAGGAAAGGGAGAAAGGGUAGAAACUCCUGCGAAAGUUCAAAGGCAUGCCAGGUUUUCUAGAACUCCAGCUGGUUAUAUAUUAUGGCCUAUUCUUGUGCAAAUUUAAAAACUGAUGGGGCCAGGCAAGGUGGCUCACUCCUGUAAUCCCAGCACUUUGGGAGGCCGAGGCAGGCGGAUCACUUGAGGUCAGGAGUUGAGAACAGCCUCACCAACAUGGUGAAACCCCAUCUCUACUAAGAAUACAAAAAUUAGCUGGGUGUGGUGGCACACGCCUAUAGUCCCAGCUACUAGGGGGGAGGCUGAGGCAUGAGAAAUGCUUGAACUCGGUAGGUGGAGGUUGCAGUGAGCUGAGAUUGCGCCACUGCACUCCAGCCUGGUGACAGAGCAAGACUCCAUUUCAAAAACAAACAAAUAAACAAACAAACAAAAACUGAUGGAAAAUUAUGACAAAGAAUUUCAGAGCUCAAAUGGUUAAUCUGCAGCUACAGCAUUAAGGAGAGUCUUUUAAAUGUCUCUAUUUCUCUUUCCUCUUCUACCUGCUUUGAAUCUGCUGUUACUAAGCUACCAAUGUUGAGAUAAAACUCACUAAUUGAAAGAUACUUGGAGAUUUUGUUUUUCUUAUAUUGUUCAACCAGUUGUAGCUAAAAUGUAAACAGUAAAAGCUCAUUUGAAACUGAAAAGGGGGUAAAAGAGGUUUUUUAAAAAUAAAACUGUUAUAGAAACUGUUUACCCAAAGUUUUGGUCCACAACCUUCCUUGGAUUGCCUAUUAGGGAAAAGUUUAGCCAUGUGAAUAGGUCCCAGUUUUGUCAAAUAUAAUUUGGAUCCAGCUGUCUGUUGUAAAAUAAUGAGAUUUGAUGCUGUCUCAUGGAUAAAGUUCUGAAGUAAAGCUAUUGGAUCUUUGUGUGUGCUUAUACAUGUUUAAAUGUGUUUAUAUACAUGUACAUGUACAUGUAGUGUUAUAUAUUGUGUCCAGCAUGCUACCAAAUUGGCUCAUAAGGAAAUGAGUACUUAUAAAUGAAAUAAGUCUGAAUGCUUUUUAGGUCCACAUGAAUUUAAUAAUUGUUAAUAAAUAAGCUAGCUUUGAAAUUAUUGGUAAGAUAAAAAGAAAAAUGUCUUCAAAAGUGUCAGACACAUUUUUGCCUGGGUUUACUCAUUAGAUAAGUUUUCUAUUUGCUUCUGCUAGAUAUUUUAAGGUGUCAGGGUUUGACAUAAAGUUGGUAAGACCCUAAACCCAGCCCUAGCCUGAAUGAUCUUUGUGUGAUUUUUUAAUAAGCAAGACUAAUUUGAUAUUGUUGGUUUAAUAAAAAUAGCUACAUUGUCUGAGUUAUUGGCAAAACACAUGUCCACGUGUUUAGCUUUAAGGUUCUUGCUUAGAUGAAUAUCUAAUAUUUACAGUCUAUAAAAAUAAUUAAUAAAA
RNAcentral lists this long non-coding RNA (11121 nucleotides) under Homo sapiens (human). Its description in RNAcentral is "HSALNT0143368". Lineage: Eukaryota; Metazoa; Chordata; Mammalia; Primates; Hominidae. The record is from RNAcentral.